RNAcentral lists this transfer RNA (89 nucleotides) under Hydrogenivirga sp. 128-5-R1-1. It matches the Rfam family "tRNA". From Rfam's summary of the family: Transfer RNA (tRNA) molecules are approximately 80 nucleotides in length. Their secondary structure includes four short double-helical elements and three loops (D, anti-codon, and T loops). Further hydrogen bonds mediate the characteristic L-shaped molecular structure. tRNAs have two regions of fundamental functional importance: the anti-codon, which is responsible for specific mRNA codon recognition, and the 3' end, to which the tRNAs corresponding amino acid is attached (by aminoacyl-tRNA synthetases). tRNAs cope with the degeneracy of the genetic code in two manners: having more than one tRNA (with a specific anti-codon) for a particular amino acid; and 'wobble' base-pairing, i.e. permitting non-standard base-pairing at the 3rd anti-codon position. Lineage: Bacteria; Pseudomonadati; Aquificota; Aquificia; Aquificales; Aquificaceae. The record is from Rfam by way of RNAcentral.
GGAUGGGUGUCCGAGCGGCCGAAGGAGCAGCACUGGAAAUGCUGUGCACCGUUUUUGCGGUGCCGAGGGUUCAAAUCCCUCCCCAUCCG